This 223-nucleotide transfer-messenger RNA is filed under the name Arenicellales bacterium. RNAcentral's name for it is "partial transfer-messenger RNA". It matches the Rfam family "transfer-messenger RNA", at positions 141 to 374 of the family's 374-position model. Rfam says of the family: Bacterial tmRNA, also known as 10Sa RNA or SsrA, is named for its dual tRNA and mRNA-like properties. Its role is to liberate the mRNA from a stalled ribosome. To accomplish this part of the tmRNA is used as a reading frame that ends in a translation stop signal. Lineage: Bacteria; Pseudomonadati; Pseudomonadota; Gammaproteobacteria; Arenicellales. The record is from RNAcentral.
AGCCUCUCCCCCGGCUCGCCCAUGGGCUGGGAUCCGAGGGGUCAAAUUACAUGGGCUCGCGUGAUGGGGUGCUCGUGACCCGCCACGCUAAACUUAAGCGGGCUCGCCGGCCGUAACCCUGUCUGUCGGGGUGCGUACGGUCAAAUCAAAGACAGACUAAGCAUGUAGUCGCCGGUGCGUGGCGGAUUGACGGACGCGGGUUCGAUUCCCGCCGCCUCCACCA